This 245-nucleotide ribosomal RNA is filed under the name uncultured bacterium. RNAcentral's name for it is "partial 16S ribosomal RNA". It matches the Rfam family "Bacterial small subunit ribosomal RNA", at positions 524 to 768 of the family's 1533-position model. The record is from RNAcentral.
GACAGAGGGUGCGAGCGUUGUUCGGAAUUACUGGGCGUAAAGGGCGCGUAGGCGGUUGAGAAAGUUGGAUGUGAAAUCCCUCGUUUCAAGCGAGGAACUGCAUCCAAAACUACUCGGCUCGAGUCCCGGAGAGGAAAGUGGAAUUCCCGGUGUAGAGGUGAAAUUCGUAGAGAUCGGGAGGAACACCAGAGGCGAAAGCGGCUUUCUGGACGGUGACUGACGCUGAGGCGCGAAAGCGUGGGGAG